AUGAACGCUGGCGGCGUGCUUAACACAUGCAAGUCGAGCGAAGCGGUUUCAAUGAAGUUUUCGGACGGAAUUGGAAUUGACUUAGCGGCGGACGGGUGAGUAACGCGUGGGUAACCUGCCUUACACUGGGGGAUAACAGUUAGAAAUGACUGCUAAUACCGCAUAAGCGCACAGGGCCGCAUGGUCUGGUGUGAAAAACUCCGGUGGUGUAAGAUGGACCCGCGUCUGAUUAGGUAGUUGGUGGGGUAACGGCCCACCAAGCCGACGAUCAGUAGCCGACCUGAGAGGGUGACCGGCCACAUUGGGACUGAGACACGGCCCAAACUCCUACGGGAGGCAGCAGUGGGGAAUAUUGGACAAUGGGCGAAAGCCUGAUCCAGCGACGCCGCGUGAGUGAAGAAGUAUUUCGGUAUGUAAAGCUCUAUCAGCAGGGAAGAAAAUGACGGUACCUGACUAAGAAGCCCCGGCUAACUACGUGCCAGCAGCCGCGGUAAUACGUAGGGGGCAAGCGUUAUCCGGAUUUACUGGGUGUAAAGGGAGCGUAGACGGUUAAGCAAGUCUGAAGUGAAAGCCCGGGGCUCAACCCCGGUACUGCUUUGGAAACUGUUUGACUUGAGUGCAGGAGAGGUAAGUGGAAUUCCUAGUGUAGCGGUGAAAUGCGUAGAUAUUAGGAGGAACACCAGUGGCGAAGGCGGCUUACUGGACUGUAACUGACGUUGAGGCUCGAAAGCGUGGGGA
This 738-nucleotide ribosomal RNA is filed under the name uncultured Clostridium sp. RNAcentral's name for it is "bacterial SSU rRNA". It matches the Rfam family "Bacterial small subunit ribosomal RNA", at positions 29 to 767 of the family's 1533-position model. Lineage: Bacteria; Bacillati; Bacillota; Clostridia; Eubacteriales; Clostridiaceae. The record is from RNAcentral.